RNAcentral lists this long non-coding RNA (1324 nucleotides) under Homo sapiens (human). RNAcentral's name for it is "HSALNT0240602". Lineage: Eukaryota; Metazoa; Chordata; Mammalia; Primates; Hominidae. The record is from RNAcentral.
GUGUCCUGAGAAGGACAGAUGGCUCUUCCAUGGUCUCGUCGGCGCUGAGACUCAGAGCGUGGGCUUCAAUGCUUGCAAAGGCUCAGUUUCAAGAACGGAAUACCUGGUCAUGUAUAUCAUCAGAACAAUUGCUCAUCUAUCAGCUAGUCCUUCCAGGCCAUGCCAUGUGAGAAGGUGCAAGUUUGAAGAAUCCAGCCACCAUCACACUUUCCUCUUGUUCGCUGCCAUCCGUGACUUAAGCAUGGGACUGGAAUGUUCAUGAGUCACAGGCUGGGUUUCUGAUUGGCAUUGAGAUCAAGCAAGAAUUUCUUAAAAACCAAAAUGGCUCAUAAGAGCAGAUGUGUAUUGAUUCUGCUAUGGAAAGAAUGGCCCAGUGUUUAAUGACACAGUGCCUAACCUUGUUUAUAAGAAAAUCAUCACCAAAGCUGCUAGACUGAUUUUAUUUUAGUAAUCUGAGUUGGUUUAUAACUCAUUAACACUUAUGAGACACUUAUUAUGUAGAUGGUACUGUACUAUUUGGGGGUGGAGGGGGAAAGGAAAGAAAAAUAGCUUUCAAAUAGUUUCCUAUCACAUAGUAAUCAUAACUUUUAGUAAGGCAAGACAAAGAUAAAUCAAGCAAUUAAAGGGAAAGAACUUUUCUGGGAACAAUAAGGUCAAACUAAAUGGGGAUUUCAUUCAUUCUGUGCCUUUCUGAAUGCCCUUCCCUGAUUAUUGACCUAGAAAUAAAAUUGAAAUUGGGCUAUUUCUUGCUUUCUUGCUUUGACAUAUGCACUUUGUAUUACAUACUUAAAAAUCUAUGGACAAUAUCUACAAAGGAAUCAAUUAUCUUUCUGUCACAGCUUCUUUAGUUUGUUGGCUGAGGGUUUUGUUUGUUUAUGAGGUGGGAAGGUGGCAUUAUGAAAAAGACAAGGGGAAUUAGUUUAGCUGGUGACCAAUAAAAUAGCUUUGUCUUUUCCAGCCAUAGCAAAGAUGAAUAGGAAUACAGAAAAUAAAUUUAGAGUUGGAAGGUAGAUUAAAGAUAACAUUGUCCAAGGAAUGCUGAUGGUCUUCAGUGCAAAUUUACCUCUGAGGUGUGUUUUGUUUUGUUUUCUCUUUUUAAAAAUACACCCUUUGGUCUAUCAUAUCCCUGAUCUUUGAAGUCCUUUGAGUCUAUGAUCCAUCAUAGUCCAUCACAGUUUUUGGAAGACCAGAUUUACAAAAUGAAUUCCUCCAAAGUCGUACGGAUCAAAGAGUGGCAAAUAUUUAGCAAUACCACAGGUCUUCUGUGGAGUAGAAACACUGGUGAUGUCUCCCAGUCUUUUUCCAACUCGGAGUCACUCAAAAU